AUUCGCCGAGUGGCUGGCCGCGUUGGCGCGUUGCUCUGCGGCGGCGGGGUCGUACACGGCCAGCAUCAGCGCGUGCGGUCUCUUGAGGCCGGCGUAGCAGCACGGGGGGUUCUUGGUAGGGAGGGGAAGGUUCUUGGCUCGAUCGGUGGAGCACAUGGUGUUCUUGGCUCGCUACUCGAUCGUUGGGAAUUGGGAUCUCCUACGUACGUGUUCUUGGGCGUCUAAGCUUAUCGCGGAAGGCUAAUUCGCUAGUGCUAUCGGUUGCAAUCGCCAAUGGUUCAUGCCGACCUCCCGGAUUAUAUAGAUGGGAUGGGAUGGGAUGCUCGUCGGAAUUGGGCCGAGUCGGUGAAAGAGAGGGCUUUGCCGGCUCCGGGCUCGGAUCUCCUCGUGGCAGGGGAGGACACGUCUAUCGAGAUGGAAGCAUUAAAUGGUGCGUAUCCGAGUACAGCACUCAAUGGAAGAACAGAAAGAUGGCUGGUGGGCCCAGGCUGCGCUGAGCUGUCUGCCCCCCACCCCCUCCUACGCCGGCAGCCAAUGGCGGCCUCCUCCUCCUCCUCCUCCUCCGCGCCAGCACACCCCGUGCGUGAAUCCUCUCUCCGGCAGCGGCGCAUUCCCUCCGCUUCUUCACCCUCGCCUCCCCGCCGCCUCCUGUUCGGCGGUGAGCCGUGAUGGCCUACUACGGUGGCUAUAGAUCAUGGACACCAUCAACCACGAGAGGAGAUGGUGUUGGGUGCUCUUACUGUGGUUCUUGCAGCAAUGGAUCAUGGGUCUCAUCUUCCGCACAGGAGGCAUUCAGUUGUGAUGGGCUGCAGUUGCUCUUCGGCAAUCGGCAUCUUCCGACCUUGAGGCAGGAAGGGGUGUUGCUUGCUCCGCAAGACAGAAAGACGACGGUUGCUAAGCUGAUCCUCACGACCAGAGUCCCAGCAGGUGCAUCUUCACCGGCCUCCACACCCCUGCAAGGACCAACACGGCCAGCAUCGGGCUUGUACCGACUCUGCUUCAGCGACGCCCACCAAGUGUUCGAUGCCAUGCCCCAGUGACGGGUCUGCGGGAUUGUGGCGAAAACCACUGUGUGCCUGUGUCUAUUGAGUGCCCACUAAAGAAGACAAAGGACCGGUGUGCGGAAAGUUGCUGCUUGACUGUUUGUCAAGUUCUGGUGCCUUUUGGCCUUUCCUGCUACAGUCGUGAUCAUUCGUUUCGAGCUCGUUCGCUAGUGAUGCCCAUACUCAGAAGGUGCUCGAUGAAAUGCUGAACAGGAGCAGGAAGAUAAAUUCAAUGGCUAACAGGACUUGGGAGCUGCUCACAUGUUGUGCUGAGCCGUGUGAUGUAAUCAAGCAUGAUCAAGUGUUCUGUUUGCCAUCGGAGUAUAUGUGAUUACCAGUGACAAGACCUGAGGAUUGUGCAAUGAAAACAUUGGUGCUGCUUAUUGUCAAAUGGUAUCAGUCGAUGUUGAGGAGGCUGGCUGAGAUUUACUCAGUGAAGGUGCUGACAUAGAGUGUUUCAGAUUCUUUCCACCAAAGAGGGCACACUGUGUAGUUUCACUGCUACUAGAGGUGUGCAGAUAUUUUGUGAGACUCGAAGGGAAGAUUUAUUCAAGCGGAGGCCAAUUAACGGCAGCAAAUGGAAAGGUUUGUACAAGAGUAGAACGUCAAAGCCUGCAAAUUGAAAAGAAAAAUAGUCGAUUUGUAAUGAAGAAAACAAGGCUAGUUCACUGUGAUAAAGAUAAGAAGAUUGUAGAAGUGCACUCACUGCUGGAGAUUGUCUGCAAGGCUGAAAGGAAAAGAAAAGAAUAAUUUAUAUUGCUUUCAGAAAAUAUGAAUCUGUGCUUUUCAAACAUAGCACUAAUGGAAGCUGUAUUAGUUAACCUUUAAACUUGAAAGUGACAUCACAUUUUCACAGUGCUAGGAGAUACAUUUCAUUAGUGAACAAUUUAAAAGUUCAAAAUACUUACGAGUUCUGCAUUUACUUUGCAGGAGUUCUGCCACCAUAUCUUGCCAUUUCCAUCAAUGGUCCCACCACCAGUGACAGUCAGACCUCUCACAGCUUUGAACAGAAUCCAGUGCCUAAUGGUUUGCUCGAUCCAAUAUGAUCUCUUUUGAGGAGCCACCAAAGUACCCUCUAUCUGGAAUUUGGUGGAAUUUGAGAUCUUUGUUUGGAAAAUUUCUUAUGAAAACAAAGAAUAUAUGCAUUGUUCUUGUUAUCCAUCUAUCUCACCAUUAACUUAAUAUUGGAUUUGCAUGGGCCAGAAAAGGUUACAUGCUUCGUGAGGUAUUUAUUGCCCUUGGGAAUGAGCAGAAUGCCAGGAUGAGAAGAGGAGCAAGCUGCAGCCCACGUCUUUUCCAGUGCCUACAAGAAGGGGAUGCACAAAAAACCUGUGGUUUGUGGAAAUGGUGAAUCAUUUUGCACCUCAUCAGUGCUAAUUACAACUCUUUAGGGAAAGAAGGCAUGUUCAUGUGAACAUCAACUUUUUCAGGAAGGUCUCUGAAUAUUGCUGAACAGAACUUUCAUUCAGUUAUAGGAUCUUAGCUGAAAAAGGAAAGACAUGGGGCUCGAUCCAAGGGUGCCGGUCUGAUGGAGAUUUCUUGCGCUGAAAUUUUUGUACGGGUUGUGGGAUCCUUGCGAGCAUGAAGAAUAUGUGGAGUAAGGAGGUGAACAACCUUUGUUGAAGCUUCCAAGUAUAGAGGCUAGAAGAACAUUUUUUGGUUGCUAGAAACAGCAGGAUGUGCUUAAAUUUGGCCAAUUAGAUUUGCUGCGCUCUGCAAACACACCAGAGAUUUGAGGACCCUGAGAGAUGUAUGAGCCACAUGUAUGCCAACAAAUGUAAACACAGUAGAGAUUUCAGGCCUGAGAGAUGUAUGAGCCGCAUGCAUGCCAACAAAUGUAACCCAUUCACCCCGUGAAAUUGAUAAAUCGUUGAGGCCACAGCUAACCAAAGCAAUCAAGUACCAAGCUGUAAUGAAAAAUGUCAUGUGAAUGUGCAUCUACAUUUGCCAAGAAGGAAGUACAUCUAUUCGUGUCCCAGUAACAACCAAUAGUAAUUACAGUACAUAUUGGUUAACUGAUUAUUCACAUCUAUGCACCGGAACCCACUCUUCAGAUGCCACCAGUGCGGUAGGUGCACAUCGGACCACAGCACCGAAAUGCCGUGCUCCCAGUAGUGCUGGGCAGUACGCACGUCAACGUACUGCCGGCCUGGGUGCCGCACCGACGAC
Long non-coding RNA from Brachypodium distachyon (stiff brome), 3212 nucleotides. RefSeq lists it as uncharacterized. The transcript has 5 exons. The record is from RefSeq and is a predicted model, not a curated record. NCBI's taxonomy places the organism in Eukaryota, Viridiplantae, Streptophyta, Magnoliopsida, Poales, Poaceae.